AUGCGAUUUCCAGCGGCAUUCCUCCUCCCGUCCGCUGGAAGGUGAGGCCGGGCUUCUCCUCCCGUUCGGUCUCCUUCUCAGAAAAGGCCGGGUUCCUCCCCCGGCCUUUUUCU
Molecule: small RNA, 113 nt
Filed under: Mesorhizobium sp. RMAD-H1
Lineage: Bacteria; Pseudomonadati; Pseudomonadota; Alphaproteobacteria; Hyphomicrobiales; Phyllobacteriaceae
Description: ar14
Rfam family: Alphaproteobacterial ar14
About the family: Smr14C2 was renamed NfeR1 (Nodule Formation Efficiency RNA) highly expressed in salt stress and during the symbiotic interaction on legume roots.
Source: RNAcentral